Molecule: long non-coding RNA, 735 nt
Organism: Balaenoptera acutorostrata (minke whale)
Lineage: Eukaryota; Metazoa; Chordata; Mammalia; Artiodactyla; Balaenopteridae
Exons: 5
Source: RefSeq, a predicted model, not a curated record
CAGCUGGACCCUCAGCCACUCGGUUCCCGCCCUCAGUUAGGGUGGGGUCUGGGGGCUUUUUUUUUUUUUUCCAAAGCCCAGUGGGAAAGCUGGGAAUUCAGAAUCCGCGAAAGACGUUCUCCGUCCUCUCCCAGCCGCUGUGUGACCUGGGGUGAAACUGAUCCUGCAUCCCAGAGGGAAUUUUGGAAGAGGUUUCGGUGGAGGUGAAAACCAAGUGCCUGAAUGGUUUUAUUGCUGAAAGUCCUGAGUCUGGGAAACCUCUCAGUCUUGGGGUUUCCCUCAGAAUGAAAACCAAGGGGAAGCUGACUGGCAGAUGGAGAAGCUGAGGCCUGGAGAAUAAAAUAAGCUGCCCAAGGUCGCACAGCUGGCAAAAGCAGAGACCCUCCCAGUGUCUGAACAAAAGGAACAGACUGUUGCUGAAUGGCACCCAGAGACAUCACUGUGCAUGUGCAACACGGAAACCUGUGUCUCCAGGAUGACCCCGGAACCAAGGAUCUUCAGUCUACGGAAUUCAAAGAAUAGAAAUGUUGCCACCAGAGGUCUUUACAAAGCAAGAACUCCUUCAGUGAGGAAAAUCCAGCUUCCAGCAGCAAGAGUAGCUUGGUUACCAUAUAUGGACUGAUUCAAGAUUAGCCAAUCAGCUUCCAGGUUUGAAAUUCUCCUAAUUCCUUAAAUUUCGCCCUGAACCUUGGAUCUGGGAGACAGAUUUGAGCUCUGCAGGUCGACCUCGCAAUA